Molecule: ribosomal RNA, 459 nt
Filed under: uncultured bacterium
Lineage: Bacteria
Description: partial 16S ribosomal RNA
Rfam family: Bacterial small subunit ribosomal RNA
Source: RNAcentral
CCUACGGGUGGCAGCAGUGAGGAAUAUUGGUCAAUGGACGGAAGUCUGAACCAGCCAUGCCGCGUGCAGGAUGACGGCUCUAUGAGUUGUAAACUGCUUUUGUACGAGAAUAAUAGUUCUUACGUGUAGGGAUUUGAAUGUAUCGUACGAAUAAGGAUCGGCUAACUCCGUGCCAGCAGCCGCGGUAAUACGGAGGAUGCGAGCGUUAUCCGGAUUUAUUGGGUUUAAAGGGUGCGUAGGCGGUCCGUUAAGUCAGCGGUAAAAUUGCGGGGCUCAACCCCGUCGAGCCGUUGAAACUGGCAGACUUGAGUUGGCGAGAAGUACGCGGAAUGCGCGGUGUAGCGGUGAAAUGCAUAGAUAUCGCGCAGAACUCCGAUUGCGAAGGCAGCGUACCGGCGCCAGACUGACGCUGAGGCACGAAAGCGUGGGGAUCGAACAGGAUUAGAUACCCGGGUAGUC